AGGAAAAGAAACUAACAAGGAUUCCCCUAGUAACGGCGAGUGAAGAGGGAAGAGCCCAAGUUUGAAAGCUGGCGUUUGUAUUCAGGCGUCCGCAUUGUAAACUCGAGAAGUGUUAUCCGCGCCGGACCAAAUUCAAGUCCCUUGGAAUAGGGCAUCAUAGAGGGUGAAAGUCCCGUGCUUGAUUUGGAACCCCCGGGGCUUUGUGAUGCACUCUCCAAGAGUCGAGUUGUUUGGGAAUGCAGCUCAAAAUGGGUGGUAAAUGCCAUCUAAGGCUAAAUAUUGAGGAGAGACCGAUAGCGAACAAGUACCGUGAGGGAAAGAUGAAAAGAACUUUGGAAAGAGAGUUAAACAGUACGUGAAAUUGCCGGAAGGGAAGGGUAGGAAGUCAGACAUGCCUUUACAGAUUCAGCCUUGUCCUUUGGACUUGGUGUAUUUCUGUCUUGGGCAGGCCAGCAUCGGUUUGUAUCGCCGGAUAUAGGCUUAGGGAAUGUGGCUUUGCUUUCGGGCAAAGUGUUAUAGCCCUUUGCUGAGUACGGCGAUGUGGACCGAGGAACGCAGCGCACCCUAUUAGGGCGGGCCUUCGGGCACCUUUGCGCUUAGGAUGCUGGCUUAAUGGCUUUCUGCCACCCGUCUUG
RNAcentral lists this ribosomal RNA (635 nucleotides) under Floromyces anemarrhenae. Its description in RNAcentral is "LSU rRNA". It matches the Rfam family "Eukaryotic large subunit ribosomal RNA", at positions 54 to 656 of the family's 3401-position model. The record is from RNAcentral. Lineage: Eukaryota; Fungi; Basidiomycota; Ustilaginomycetes; Urocystidales; Floromycetaceae.